RNAcentral lists this long non-coding RNA (205 nucleotides) under Panax ginseng (ginseng). RNAcentral's name for it is "long non-coding RNA (PGIN_LNC018969)". Lineage: Eukaryota; Viridiplantae; Streptophyta; Magnoliopsida; Apiales; Araliaceae. The record is from RNAcentral.
GUGAGCAAAAGAGACUAUAUUAAUGAACUAUAAUUUGGUGGACUAUAAUUUUAAAUCAAUACCUUAUAUAUAAAGGCAGCAAAGACGAUCCUAAAUUGAGUCAAUUUUAAAUCAAUUAGGAGUUAACUCGCUCAAUUGAAAAAAAACUCACUACAUAUCAAUCUCGCCUUCAAUCGAAAAUACCGUUCGUCUCUUCAGAUUUCCC